RNAcentral lists this long non-coding RNA (690 nucleotides) under Oryctolagus cuniculus (rabbit). Its description in RNAcentral is "lncRNA (ENSOCUG00000035716.1)". Lineage: Eukaryota; Metazoa; Chordata; Mammalia; Lagomorpha; Leporidae. The record is from RNAcentral.
GGCUAAGAGGAGCCAAAGAGAAGAUACUGCAUGAAGAAUGGGCUUUUUCCUCAUCCUCCUACCUGAGACAUCCUGGCAGUGAGUGCUGUCCACAGAGAGAGCUGAGUUGUGUAUAUGUGAUUGAGAGCUCAGUAGAACAGCUUUGUAGACCAAAUCAAGACCUCAAUUCACUUGAAAUAGUAAUUGACUCAGAUGAUGUCUCUGUUUUAAGAAUGUUUCUAAGCUUCUCCUACCUAUGCAAAUCCAUUUGGCCGAAACAACCCGAGAAAACUAGAAUUAUUUGCAGAAUCACUGCGAGAGAGUUCAAGCAUGGAAGAAUCAUUAUUCAUAAUUUGCUGCCUAUGGUGGUGUUAAAAGUAAUGAAAUGUUGGGGCCAGCACUGUGGCAUAGUGGGAAAAGCCACCACCUGCAGUGACGACAUCCCAUUAUGGGCACCAGUUCCCGUCCCGGCUGCUCCACUUCCAAUCCAAUGCUUUGCUGUGGGCUGGGAAAGCAGUAGAAGAUGGACCAAGUCGUUGGGCCCCUGCAACCGUGUGGAAGACUGGGAGGAGGUUCCUAGAUUCAGCUCUGGUUGGUGCGGCCAACUGGGGAGUGAACCGGCAGAUGGAAGACCUCUCUCUCUCUCUCUCUCUCUCUACCUCUUUCUCUCUGUGUAACUCUGACUUUCAAAUAAAUAAAUAAAUCUUUACA